This 107-nucleotide small nuclear RNA is filed under the name Ovis aries (sheep). Lineage: Eukaryota; Metazoa; Chordata; Mammalia; Artiodactyla; Bovidae. The record is from RNAcentral.
GUGCUCGCUUCAGCAGCACAUAUACUAAAAUUGGAACAAUCCAGAGAAGAUUAGCAUGGUCCCUGGGCAAGGAUGACACGCAAAUUGGUGAAGCGUUCCAUAUUUAA